GCAUAUCAAUAAGCGGAGGAAAAGAAACCAACAGGGAUUGCUCUAGUAACGGCGAGUGAAGCAGCAAUAGCUCAAAUUUGAAAUCUGGCGUCUUCGGCGUCCGAGUUGUAAUUUGUAGAGGAUGCUUCUGGGCAGCCACCGACCUAAGUUCCUUGGAACAGGACGUCAUAGAGGGUGAGAAUCCCGUAUGCGGUCGGAAAGGCACCCUACACGUAGCUCCUUCGACGAGUCGAGUUGUUUGGGAAUGCAGCUCUAAAUGGGAGGUAAAUUUCUUCUAAAGCUAAAUAUUGGCCAGAGACCGAUAGCGCACAAGUAGAGUGAUCGAAAGAUGAAAAGCACUUUGGAAAGAGAGUUAAAAAGCACGUGAAAUUGUUGAAAGGGAAGGGAUUGCAACCAGACUUGCUCGCGGUGUUCCGCCGGUCUUCUGACCGGUCUACUCGCCGCGUUGCAGGCCAGCAUCGUCUGGUGCCGCUGGAUAAGACUUGAGGAAUGUAGCUCCCUCGGGAGUGUUAUAGCCUCUUGUGAUGCAGCGAGCGCCGGGCGAGGUCCGCGCUUCGGCUAGGAUGCUGGCGUAAUGGUUGUAAUCCGCCCGUCUUGAAACACGGACC
RNAcentral lists this ribosomal RNA (608 nucleotides) under Cladosporium sphaerospermum. Its description in RNAcentral is "eukaryotic LSU rRNA". It matches the Rfam family "Eukaryotic large subunit ribosomal RNA", at positions 38 to 667 of the family's 3401-position model. RNAcentral also lists the same sequence under 2 other names. Lineage: Eukaryota; Fungi; Ascomycota; Dothideomycetes; Cladosporiales; Cladosporiaceae. The record is from RNAcentral.